UGGGGAACUCGAGAGUCAAGCCAUUUAAUUAAAUGCGCGAAUAAAGAUAUGGUUUUGCUUUGUCUUUUUCUUCCCUUUUUCUUUAUCUAUGCUUGGCAUUUGGAAUAAUUGCAUGUGAUUUGAUUGUAUAUUGAACCCUAGGAUAGAUGAUAUGUUUAUAUCUGCCUGGGAAUUUUCUGGCUGUUUUGCAGGUGAGGGUUUGGGUGCAUUGCAUUCUCCCUUCACACACACACAUAUUAUGCAUCUAUUGAGUGAGGCCCUAUACCCGGGUCUGAGCGUAACUUAGAAUUAGAGGAGUUGUGUAGCGGUGUCACUCUGGGAUGUACUUCCUGUUUGGCUAUCGUGAGAGCUCCAGCUAGAGUCUGUUCUCUUCAUUUGUGUUUCCACACCUAGUUGAUUACUCGACUGUUGUGGAGAUGCUGUGGAGGGGGCCAUAGCUCUAGUGACCUUUGAUCCUUAGGCUCAGGGAACUAUCCUGGUGAGAACGCAUAUACUUGACCUUGAAUCUGAAAUGUUGAACCUCCACUAGGACACAAAGGGAGAUGUGUGUAUCCUUAUAACCCUC
Molecule: long non-coding RNA, 565 nt
Filed under: Vigna radiata
Lineage: Eukaryota; Viridiplantae; Streptophyta; Magnoliopsida; Fabales; Fabaceae
Description: long non-coding RNA (VRAD_LNC001100)
Source: RNAcentral